RNAcentral lists this ribosomal RNA (97 nucleotides) under uncultured bacterium. Its description in RNAcentral is "partial 16S ribosomal RNA". It matches the Rfam family "Bacterial small subunit ribosomal RNA", at positions 1386 to 1482 of the family's 1533-position model. The record is from RNAcentral.
CACACCGCCUGUCACACCAUGGGAGUGGGUUGCACCAGAAGUAGCUAGUCUAACCUUCGGGAGGACGGUUACCACGGUGUGAUUCAUGACUGGGGUG